GCAUGGAGGUCUCAUCACACACAGGCAGACGUGCGUGACAGGACACUGCUACAAGCAACACUGGGGCUUGGGGUCAAAGCUGAGGCCACUGUGUGAGUUCCCAUGGGCUGGGACCGGCCGCCUUAGGCUGACCACUGUAGGUGACAGCCUGUUUUUCUCUUCUCCUGUGGCCACGCCUGUGAUCCUGGGAGGGGCUGGCUAGAGGAAGGAAGCAGCAGGUACCUUUCUGGGAUUCGUGCUUCUCUGUCUUGCCUUGAUACUCAAAGCCCACAGCACUUUUAUCCACCUUGUCCUUGUCAAUCCCAUAUUUGCCACCAAAACCUUUGGAGUAAUCUGAAACAACAACAGCACUGUAGGAAAAACUAGCAACGGGUGGGUUAGAAGGCUGGGGGGAGGAGGGGAGAGCGGGGUGGGGGAGGGGCUGCCACAAAAUUUGAAGGUCAGAGUUCAAUCCCUGGGACCCACAUGGUACACGGUAUAAGGAGAAAACCAACUCCUAUAAGCAGUCCUCUGACUGUCACACAUGUGCACAGACAUACGCAUGUACAAAAUAAACAUUAAAAAGGUAAGCCAGCAACAGGUCAAAAUGACAUGUUAUAUGGUCUUUAAGAGUUGUGAGCUGUCAAGAUAGCUCAGCAGGCAAAGGCAAUUGUCCCUAAGCUAGAUGACCUGAGCACAAUCCCUGGGACUGACACGGUGGGAAGAGAGAGCCCAAGUGCGGUGGCUCAUGCCUAUCUCCCAGCACUCAGGAGGCCAAAGCAGGAGGAUUGCUGAGGAUCUGAAGCCAACAAAGCCAAUACACACUGAGUUCAAAGCUAUAAAGUGAGACCUUGGCUGAAAAAAAACAAAUAAACAAAAACAAAAUGAAACAUAGAAACAAACAAAAAGAAAAACAGAAAAGGGCCAGAGAGAGACAGCUUGGCAGUUAACAGAAAGGGCCAGAGCUGGCUCGGCAGUAAGAGCACUGACGCUCUUGCAGAGGACCAGAGUUCAGUCCCCAGUACCCACAUGGUGGCUCACAACCAUCUGCAAUGGGAUCUGAUAACCUCUUCUGGCAUUCGGGUGUUGUGUAGACAGAGCAUCAUAUAAAUAAGUAAAUCUAAAAGGGGGGUGGGGGUGGGGAAUACAAGGGCUUCUUUUUCAUGCAAGCUCUUGAUUUUCAAAUACUGGUAAACACUAAACAGAAAUAACUCAUGUGGGCACAAAAAACAAACAGCACCAGGAAGACCAAUGUGCAGCGGUAUCUGUAAACAUGUGCCUGCUCUUUAUACAGCAGGGAAGGAGAAAAAGCCAGGAUGGCCUAGCAGGGCCUUUUGAGUAUGUGGUGCUCAAAUCCAGAUCCUGUGCUCUGCCACUGAGCUAUAUACACUCCCAGUCCCUGCCCCCAAGACAAUCAGGACUACCCAGUGAAACCCAGUCUUUAAAAAUAAGAAAAGAAGGGAUUGGGAGGGAGGGGGCAUGGAGACUUCAAGAUGGCUCAGCAUGUCUAAGUUCAAGGUAAAGCACUUGUAAGGCAGAGGCAGGAGGAUCUCCGUGAGUUCCAGACCAGCCAAGUCUACAUAGCAAGUUCCAGGACAGCCUGCUACACAAUAGAGAUCCUGUCUCAAACAACAAAACACAAAAAGGUGUUUACUACACAAGCCUGCCGAUAUCCAAUCAAUCCCUAAAACCCACAACAGGUAGAAGAUGUGACUCCACGAAGUUGUCCUCUGGCAUUCACACAUGGCAUGCAUGUCCCCAACACACACUCACACCUGGGCUGGGCAGGAAGAUGGGGUCAAGUGUGAAGCCUUAUAUGGUGAACUCCUGGACUACAAAAUGAGACCCUGUCUCAAAACACAGGCACAAGAGCAGUGGCUCUUGGCCUUCCUAAGGCCGUGACCUUAAUAUAGUUCCUCAUGUUGUGGUGACCUCAACUAUAAAGUUAUUUUUGUUGCUACUUCAUAACUACUGUUUUGCUACUGUUUAGAAUUGUAAUGUACAUAUCUGAUAUGCAGAAUACCUGCUGAGACUCCCAUGAAAAAGUCAUUCGACCCCAAAGGGGUCACAACCCACAGGUUGAAAACUGAUGCACUAGAGUUCAGUGGUUAAGGGGACCUUUUUAGGCUCCUACCACCCACAUAGCCACUCAUAACCACCUAUAAAUGUAGCUUCUCUUCUGGCUUCCACACAAAGCACAUACAUACAUGUACACAAAGCACCCACACACACCCAUACACAUCAAAUAAAAAUAAAUAAGUCUAAGAAAAGUUGAGGUAUGAAAAGAUUAGAAGAAACACAGGAACAAAAAACAGACAGACAGACAAAAAAAGAGCGCACUCAUCCACAAGGAGCCCAAGGCCCGCCGAACCUUUCUGAGACUCAUGCUUCUCCGUCUUGCCCUGGUAGUCAAAGCCCACGGCACUCUUGUCUACACGGUCAGCUUGCACACCGUAUUUGCCACCGAAGCCACUAGAGUAGUCUAAGGAGACAAGACAGCAGUCAGCAUGAGUUAAGACUCCCAAGAGACAUACUGUGUUCAUUUGGAACACAAGGGUUGCAUUCUUUAGGAUGACCUUGGACACCUCUGUUGGGGAACCUUGUUAUUAAGGUAGCAGUCCUCCAUGACUGGGUGGUUUUCUGAGCAUAAAAUGGGGGACUCCCUUUCUCACUGGGGCUCCCCUGUCUGCCUGUCUCUGCCUGAGAGUGUCCCUGAGCACAGGUGGCUGGCUCUGGCUGGCCAUGUCUGAAAAGUGACCUUGUUCAGAGCUUUGUGCAAGGCUGCAUAACUCAGCCCAGAAGUCCCACUCCGGCUUCCCACUGCAUGACAAUCAGGUGCUGUGCUAUAACCAAGCGGCCCUUCCUGCUCGCUUGAUGCCAUGACCAACCAUCCACUGUGCCCUAAAGAUGCUCUUACAUACCCUAUCCCUAAAACAAUAGCCUCGUCUCGCUGAAGCAGUCUACAGAGGUCAUCCCAGACACACUCAUGGCUGAACCCUGCUCUUUGCCACCUCAGCUCCCCUUCUCCCUUCAGGCUGGUGGCCAAGAACCUCCAAGGAGAAAGGGGAGAGGGGCACAACCCACAAACUGUGCAGACAGAGUUCAGCUCACACCCCACCAUUGCAGGAGACUGUUUUGUAUUGAGAGAAUGAACUGGCCAGAGCAGUUCCCACUGGGAACGCUCAGCCGGGUCUACGGUGUGCAAUCCUGCUUCAAGAAACCAAAGUAGGGGGGCUGCUGAGACGGCAGCAUGGGUGAAAGAGCCUGCCACCGAGCCUGAAGAGCUCAUCCCCAGAAUCCAUGUGUCAGAAGGAGAGGAAAGACCUCCGUGAACUUCUCUCUACCCCUGGUCUCUGCACAUACAAAGUGAAUAAAAAUGUUUAAAUAAAAUAAAUAGUGGGGAGGGGUACAAAGAAAUAAAGGUGUCUGCCCACUUGAAAAAUCUCACUGGCCACAGCCAGGCAUGGCUGCACCCAGCUGCGGUCCCAGUACACAGGAGACUAAAGCAGAAGAUUGCCAGGAGUGGGAAGCCAGCCUGGGCUUCAAAAUAAAGCCUAAGCCAGCCUAGGCUACAGAAUGAGUCCCUGUCUCAAAAAUAAACAAAAAUGACAGUCAGGUGAAGUGUCACAUGCCUGCAAUCCCAGCACUCAUGAGUCUGAGGCAGGAGAACUGUUCAGUUCAAUUGUUCAGUAUCAAUGGCAUGAUAGCAUGAUAUCAUCUUAAAAGAAACAAACCAAACCAAACCACUGGGUACUGUAAAGAAACAAUUUGCCUUUGCAGUUUAAAAGC
RNAcentral lists this long non-coding RNA (3768 nucleotides) under Mus musculus (house mouse). RNAcentral's name for it is "long non-coding RNA chr7:144452325-144456093". The record is from RNAcentral. Lineage: Eukaryota; Metazoa; Chordata; Mammalia; Rodentia; Muridae.